RNAcentral lists this ribosomal RNA (497 nucleotides) under uncultured bacterium. RNAcentral describes it as "partial 16S ribosomal RNA". It matches the Rfam family "Bacterial small subunit ribosomal RNA", at positions 28 to 507 of the family's 1533-position model. The record is from RNAcentral.
GACGAACGCUGGCGGCGUGCCUAAUACAUGCAAGUUGAGCGCUGAAGGUUGGUACUUGUACCAACUGGAUGAGCAGCGAACGGGUGAGUAACGCGUGGGGAAUCUGCCUUUGAGCGGGGGACAACAUUUGGAAACGAAUGCUAAUACCGCAUAAAAACUUUAAACACAAGUUUUAAGUUUGAAAGAUGCAAUUGCAUCACUCAAAGAUGAUCCCGCGUUGUAUUAGCUAGUUGGUGAGGUAAAGGCUCACCAAGGCGAUGAUACAUAGCCGACCUGAGAGGGUGAUCGGCCACAUUGGGACUGAGACACGGCCCAAACUCCUACGGGAGGCAGCAGUAGGGAAGCUUCGGCAAUGGACGAAAGUCUGACCGAGCAACGCCGCGUGAGUGAAGAAGGUUUUCGGAUCGUAAAACUCUGUUGGUAGAGAAGAACGCUGGUGAGAGUGGAAAGCUCAUCAAGUGACGGUAACUACCCAGAAAGGGACGGCUAACUACGUG